AGCCCAAAACCGUUUAGUUCCUUUGCAAUUUUUAUUUGAAAAUUGUUAUAGUUUUGAGUUAUUAAUAUAUAUAUAUAUAUUAGUCGAGUUUGUGAUGAAUCUAGUCGCGCCCCUAGUUCGAUAAAUAAAUUUAAAUUAUAGAUUAUUUUGGACUCAAAAAUUGGGCUAUAAAUAAGUACAUACAUGAAUUCUUUGUUAUUGGGCUUUUAUUUCUAUAUAGAUUAAUUUCUCAAUAUUGGGCCUUAUUAAAUCAUUUUUUUUGUUGGGCUAAAAGAAUAGUAUGAGCCCAUUAAUUUUCAGUACAAGAUUUAUACUAUAUUAUCAUCAGCAUUUAUUUCUUUUCUUUAGUGAUUUGUAACUUUUGAUUUUGAUGAAUCAUCUGCAACGUGUUUCAUUCUUUUAGCCACAAAUUCGAUUUUUACUCCUCAACCACAUAUUUUAACUUGUGCAGCACGAUAAUUCAACCCAGUAUAUAUAUGUAUAUCUCAUCUUCUUCAUCGCAAUUACCCAGCAAAUCCAACAAAAACCAGAUUUAUAUUUCUUCCCACUGCCGAAAAUCCAACAAAAACCAGAUUUAUAUUUCUUCCCACUGCCGAAUCUCCAUCGGUGCGGCGCGACUAGGACGUUACUUUUAUUUGAUUUACUCAAGUUAGCAUACAAGUUGAAGUUCAAGUUCAAAUUCAGGUGUGGGAUUUAUUUCAGUACAUGCUGUGGUUAAUUCUUGUCCAUUUUAAUAAUAUGUGUUUACCAUAUGUGUUAUGACGUAUAUUUUGAGGAUAUCGCUAGGGGCCCGUAAAUAGGGUCCAGGACUUCACCGUCCUUGGAUUGCCACAAUGCGAUUUCAUGUUAAAGUUAUGGUUGCAACCAGUCGCCAGGGGCCGGCUCAAUCGGUCCAGGACGGAAAGGUCCUUGGUAUGCCACCGUGCGACUUUCAGUCACGAAUGUAUUGAUCAUAUGUGAUUCUCAUUUUAUUAACGUGGACAAUGAUUGCAUGUUCCCA
Molecule: long non-coding RNA, 1000 nt
Organism: Salvia miltiorrhiza (redroot sage)
Lineage: Eukaryota; Viridiplantae; Streptophyta; Magnoliopsida; Lamiales; Lamiaceae
Exons: 2
Source: RefSeq, a predicted model, not a curated record